GUCUCCAAACUUUGAGGGGGUUAAGAGAUGAUUCUGUUCAUAUCGUCUCUGCUCUUGUUAACAAAUCAAUUUCAGAGACAAAACUUCCCGUUUCCUUCUUUACUUCACUCACCUCUCAAUUGGGAAUUCAAGAAGCUCAAUACACCCAGUCUACCACAGGUAAUAAGUUUUUACGUAACAUAUAUAUAUUCAAUUUUGUGUCGCAUUUAAAAUUUACUUUUCAAAAGAUUUUUAAAAAAUUAACUCACGAUUUUUCAGACAGUCGAUAACAAGAUAAAUUAACGAACAAUGUUUCCCUACCCUAACUAUAUCAUCAGGGUAAAAGACAAGUUUUGUUGUGUAUGUCUGUCUUUGUAAAUCUUUUUGGCUCUCAACAAUUCGGCCCACUUUACUGUGCAUGUAGAUUAUUGUGAAAACCUGAUGAAGAUGUCUCUAAAGCUGCUAGACAAGUCACUGUUGGCACUCAAACAAUCUCCAGAAAAGAACAAGAAUGACAUCCAAACGUGGCUAAGUGCUGCCUUAACUUACCAACAGGCCUGCAAAGAUUCUGUCGAUAGCUUGGGUCUACCCACCGGCGGCCUUACCUCUCAAAUUUCUCGCAAAAUGGAUUAUCUCUCUGAAUUGGUUAGCAACCCUUUAGCCCUUGUCAACAGAAUUACAGGUGAUCAUGAUAAUAAGCUUAAGAAGAACAGCACCAGAAGUCGAUAUCUAGGCGAGGAAAUACAAGAUUUUCCUAAGUGGGU
This 743-nucleotide long non-coding RNA is filed under the name Ricinus communis (castor bean). RNAcentral's name for it is "long non-coding RNA (RCOM_LNC000691)". Lineage: Eukaryota; Viridiplantae; Streptophyta; Magnoliopsida; Malpighiales; Euphorbiaceae. The record is from RNAcentral.